RNAcentral lists this ribosomal RNA (253 nucleotides) under uncultured bacterium. Its description in RNAcentral is "partial 16S ribosomal RNA". It matches the Rfam family "Bacterial small subunit ribosomal RNA", at positions 524 to 776 of the family's 1533-position model. The record is from RNAcentral.
UACGAGGGGUCCUAGCGUUGUUCGGAAUCAUUGGGCGUAAAGAGUAUGUAGGCGGCUAGAUAAGUCAGGUGUGAAAUCCCCGGGCUCAACCCGGGAAGUGCAUUUGAUACUGUCUAGCUUGAGUAUGGAAGAGGGUAGUGGAAUUCCUGGUGUAGUGGUGAAAUACGUAGAUAUCAGGAGGAACACCGGUGGCGAAGGCGGCUACCUGGUCCUAUACUGAUGCUGAGAUACGAAAGCGUGGGGAGCAAACAGG